RNAcentral lists this ribosomal RNA (276 nucleotides) under uncultured soil bacterium. RNAcentral describes it as "partial 16S ribosomal RNA". It matches the Rfam family "Bacterial small subunit ribosomal RNA", at positions 26 to 285 of the family's 1533-position model. The record is from RNAcentral.
AGAAUCAACGCUGGCGGCGUGCCUCAGACAUGCAAGUCGAACGCGAAAGUCCCCUUCGGGGGACAAGUAGAGUGGCGCACGGGUGAGUAACACGUAGGUAAUCUACCUUUGGAUGGGGAAUAACAAUCGGAAACGGUUGCUAAUACCGCAUAAUGCAGCGGCACCUAAUGGUGACAGUUGUUAAAGCGGGGGAUCGAGAGACCUCGCGUCUAAAGAGGAGCCUGCGGCGGAUUAGCUAGUUGGUAAGGUAACGGCUUACCAAGGCUACGAUCCGUA